UAGGACACUGAGUCAAAAUAAUAGUGAUUCAUUUUGUUUCCUGGGUUGGCUUCCUUUGCACUGCAGUAAUUCGUUACUUACUCGGGUAAGUCAUGCUGAACUGCUGGUG
This is a long non-coding RNA of Sapajus apella (tufted capuchin), 109 nucleotides long. RefSeq lists it as uncharacterized. The transcript is spliced from 3 exons. NCBI's taxonomy places the organism in Eukaryota, Metazoa, Chordata, Mammalia, Primates, Cebidae. The record is from RefSeq and is a predicted model, not a curated record.